UUUCGUAUAACUAUAUAAGUAGUAAAUUGUAAAUUUAUUAAAAGCUUUGCUUACGACAA
RNAcentral lists this transfer RNA (59 nucleotides) under Riccardoella reaumuri. Its description in RNAcentral is "tRNA-Tyr". The record is from RNAcentral. Lineage: Eukaryota; Metazoa; Arthropoda; Arachnida; Trombidiformes; Ereynetidae.